RNAcentral lists this unclassified non-coding RNA (211 nucleotides) under Pseudomonas costantinii. Its description in RNAcentral is "Pseudomonas sRNA P29". Lineage: Bacteria; Pseudomonadati; Pseudomonadota; Gammaproteobacteria; Pseudomonadales; Pseudomonadaceae. The record is from RNAcentral.
AAACUACAAGGGGAGCCGAAGCUCCCCCAGAAGUAGUUGCGUGCUCUAUUUUUAUUAUUGGUUGCGGGCUUCUUGUUUUUGUUGAUCGCCCUCGCCAUGAAGCUUCACCUUCAUGACACUCCCAAUCGGGAGUCAAGAGCAAACGGAUUGCUUUGGUCGCUGUGUUGCUGAUCUACGAUCCAACCAGUUCAGGCUCUGCCUUAGGGCAGUU